Mauremys reevesii (Reeves's turtle) is the source of this 909-nucleotide long non-coding RNA. RefSeq lists it as uncharacterized. The record is from RefSeq and is a predicted model, not a curated record. The transcript has 3 exons. NCBI's taxonomy places the organism in Eukaryota, Metazoa, Chordata, Testudines, Geoemydidae.
AGGGAGACUCGCUCGGGCCACGUCCUGCGUUGAGAUCAGGGCCGGGCUGGGCUUGCAGAGCCUCUGUCCCCUCGCCCUGGGCUGGGCACAGCCAGUCCCGGCCAGCGGCUCCGUGCCCGAGCCCGGGGACAGCCCGGCGGGCUCUGCCACACGCACCGGGCACCAGGGUCACCCGGUGCCCCGACUCUGCGGUCUGUUUUCUCAGACAGGCUCCUGUUACCCCCCCCCCCGCAUCCCGGUUCUUCACACUCGCUGUCUGGUCACCCUGCCCGGCACCUGGCACCGGGCACCGUUCCCCUCCCCGCAGGAGGCUGGUUUUUAAAGCGGGCGGGCGGGCCCUUGGGGAAAUACCUUGUACUUACCGUGGUGACUCCAGCCACUCCUGGGUACCCCUCCCUCUGGGCUGGGCUGUUAGCACGCUGCCUAUCUGCUACUGCACAUUGUCAGGCUCGGCCUAGGGGCCAACUGCAAGAAGAAUAUCAGGAUCAAAACACACCAAGCCAGCAGCUCAGCCGUUUCUGUUAUCAGCGUGUACGAACGUUACUUGCUACUUGAUCUACAGAGGAAAACUGAAGAGAGAAGAAUUUAUCCCAGUGCAAGCAGCUGAGGUGCCAGCUGUAGAGAACCUGACGAGAUGGAUGACAGACACAAGUGUGCACACGAGGGGCAUUGAAAGCAGAGGAAGAUAGUUUGGCAGGACAUUCUGCAUUCAGAGAGUGGGCGAUGGACGUUCCCGGGAUUGACCUGUUCUCUUGUAUAGGGAGAGAAAUGUCCAUUGAAGAAUCUGACUUGCACUUGCAAUCCAUUCGGGGUGCUAAGACUUGGGUCUGGAUCUUAUUCAUGGGGGACACAGACUGUGUUUUAAAAGGGAGACGACGCAAAGGGUAGAGAGGAAACAGCAAUAAACAA